This 279-nucleotide ribosomal RNA is filed under the name uncultured bacterium. RNAcentral describes it as "partial 16S ribosomal RNA". It matches the Rfam family "Bacterial small subunit ribosomal RNA", at positions 506 to 784 of the family's 1533-position model. The record is from RNAcentral.
UGCCAGCCGCCGCGGUAAUACAGAGGGUGCAAGCGUUAAUCGGAAUUACUGGGCGUAAAGGGUGCGUGGGUGGUUAUAUAAGUUAGGUGUGAAAGGCCCGGGCUCAACCUGGGAACUGCGCUUGAUACUGUAUAACUAGAGUACUGUAGAGGGAAGUGGAAUUUCCGGUGUAGCGGUGAAAUGCGUAGAUAUCGGAAGGAACACCAGUGGCGAAGGCGACUUCCUGGACAGAUACUGACACUGAGGCACGAAAGCGUGGGGAGCAAACAGCAUUAGAUA